GGUGCGGUGGUGAAGCGGUAACACGCCUGUCUGCAGAACAGGUAUUCGUCGGUUCGAAUCCGAUCCGCACCU
This 72-nucleotide transfer RNA is filed under the name Candidatus Levyibacteriota bacterium. RNAcentral's name for it is "tRNA-Cys". It matches the Rfam family "tRNA". Rfam says of the family: Transfer RNA (tRNA) molecules are approximately 80 nucleotides in length. Their secondary structure includes four short double-helical elements and three loops (D, anti-codon, and T loops). The record is from RNAcentral. Lineage: Bacteria; Candidatus Levyibacteriota.